RNAcentral lists this ribosomal RNA (654 nucleotides) under Phyllagathis gymnantha. RNAcentral describes it as "eukaryotic LSU rRNA". The record is from RNAcentral. Lineage: Eukaryota; Viridiplantae; Streptophyta; Magnoliopsida; Myrtales; Melastomataceae.
CAUUGUCGAAAUCGAACGGAAGAACGACCCGCGAACGGUCAUUGCGUACCCGAGAGGGCCCGCGGGCGCUAGACGCUCACGCGGCUCGCGUCGCGUCGACGCGGACGUUCUCGCGUCCGCGUCGUGCCGGCGGAAACACAUUGUCAGCACGGAUCGUGCCAAGGAGCUGCACGGAGGGAUGCGUCGUCCCGCGCCUACGGUCGCCCUCGAUGGUGGACGGGGGGCGGGGGACUCAUGCGAUCUCUGAUCAAGUCUAAAUGACUCUCGGCAACGGAUAUCUCGGCUCUUGCAUCGAUGAAGAACGUAGCGAAAUGCGAUACCUGGUGUGAAUUGCAGAAUCACGCGAACCAUCAAUUCUUUGAACGCAAGUUGCGCCCGAAGCCAUUCGGCCGAGGGCACGCCYGCCUGGGUGUCGUGAAUCCCCCCGUGCCCUUGGGCGCCCUCCCUCAUGCGCGCGCGCUGUUGGCUGGGAAACGCUCGGGCGCAGAACGUGGUCUCCCGUGGGAUCGGCACGCGUGGCGUGUCGAGGCGCGGUUGGCCGAAAAUCGAGAGCGGAGGUGACGGGCACCACGGCGUUCGGUGGAUCGAACGAGAUUGGCUGCGUCGUGGUCUCGUCACUCGUCUCCCUCAGGGCUUUGACGAUGCCGAGUGCGA